This 476-nucleotide unclassified non-coding RNA is filed under the name Cirsium discolor. RNAcentral's name for it is "partial contains external transcribed spacer and 18S ribosomal RNA". The stretch from base 424 to 476 matches the Rfam family "Eukaryotic small subunit ribosomal RNA", at positions 1 to 53 of the family's 1831-position model. The record is from RNAcentral. Lineage: Eukaryota; Viridiplantae; Streptophyta; Magnoliopsida; Asterales; Asteraceae.
AUGAGUGGUGUUUGGUUUGUUACGGGUGGUUGGCUGUCUGCUCGCGCAGCAACGUCCACGCGUGCUUACCUCUUCAUUUUAGCGACAAGGCUUGUUUUGCCUUGAGCAGCUUGUGGGUUUCCUGUGUUGCAUACCUAAUCGACGGUAACGUGUGGCUUUAUGGACGUCCUUUUUCGUCAUGCGUCGCUCAUGCGGCGUGGGAUGAACCUUGAAGCAGGCUUUGUGGUCCACCUUGUUGGUGCUUUUGCAUCGACGACGUGGCCCUUGAAGCAUCGCUUGGUCUCAUGUAUACGGAACCUGAUGUGGGCAUGGGUCUUUCGGGAUCCUGCAUUUGCCCUAUUUAAGCGUUCUCGCUUCUCCGAAACGAUCGUCCGUCACGUCUUGGCUUGUCCUUGCGUGGCGGGCUGCGUCGAAGAGGAAUGCUACCUGGUUGAUCCUGCCAGUAGUCAUAUGCUUGUCUCAAAGAUUAAGCCAUG